Molecule: ribosomal RNA, 2025 nt
Filed under: Staphylococcus aureus
Lineage: Bacteria; Bacillati; Bacillota; Bacilli; Caryophanales; Staphylococcaceae
Description: partial 23S ribosomal RNA
Rfam family: Bacterial large subunit ribosomal RNA
Source: RNAcentral
UAGCCUCAAGUGAUGAUUAUUGGAGGUAGAGCACUGUUUGGACGAGGGGCCCCUCUCGGGUUACCGAAUUCAGACAAACUCCGAAUGCCAAUUAAUUUAACUUGGGAGUCAGAACAUGGGUGAUAAGGUCCGUGUUCGAAAGGGAAACAGCCCAGACCACCAGCUAAGGUCCCAAAAUAUAUGUUAAGUGGAAAAGGAUGUGGCGUUGCCCAGACAACUAGGAUGUUGGCUUAGAAGCAGCCAUCAUUUAAAGAGUGCGUAAUAGCUCACUAGUCGAGUGACACUGCGCCGAAAAUGUACCGGGGCUAAACAUAUUACCGAAGCUGUGGAUUGUCCUUUGGACAAUGGUAGGAGAGCGUUCUAAGGGCGUUGAAGCAUGAUCGUAAGGACAUGUGGAGCGCUUAGAAGUGAGAAUGCCGGUGUGAGUAGCGAAAGACGGGUGAGAAUCCCGUCCACCGAUUGACUAAGGUUUCCAGAGGAAGGCUCGUCCGCUCUGGGUUAGUCGGGUCCUAAGCUGAGGCCGACAGGCGUAGGCGAUGGAUAACAGGUUGAUAUUCCUGUACCACCUAUAAUCGUUUUAAUCGAUGGGGGGACGCAGUAGGAUAGGCGAAGCGUGCGAUUGGAUUGCACGUCUAAGCAGUAAGGCUGAGUAUUAGGCAAAUCCGGUACUCAUUAAGGCUGAGCUGUGAUGGGGAGAAGACAUUGUGUCUUCGAGUCGUUGAUUUCACACUGCCGAGAAAAGCCUCUAGAUAGAAAAUAGGUGCCCGUACCGCAAACCGACACAGGUAGUCAAGAUGAGAAUUCUAAGGUGAGCGAGCGAACUCUCGUUAAGGAACUCGGCAAAAUGACCCCGUAACUUCGGGAGAAGGGGUGCUCUUUAGGGUUAACGCCCAGAAGAGCCGCAGUGAAUAGGCCCAAGCGACUGUUUAUCAAAAACACAGGUCUCUGCUAAACCGUAAGGUGAUGUAUAGGGGCUGACGCCUGCCCGGUGCUGGAAGGUUAAGAGGAGUGGUUAGCUUCUGCGAAGCUACGAAUCGAAGCCCCAGUAAACGGCGGCCGUAACUAUAACGGUCCUAAGGUAGCGAAAUUCCUUGUCGGGUAAGUUCCGACCCGCACGAAAGGCGUAACGAUUUGGGCACUGUCUCAACGAGAGACUCGGUGAAAUCAUAGUACCUGUGAAGAUGCAGGUUACCCGCGACAGGACGGAAAGACCCCGUGGAGCUUUACUGUAGCCUGAUAUUGAAAUUCGGCACAGCUUGUACAGGAUAGGUAGGAGCCUUUGAAACGUGAGCGCUAGCUUACGUGGAGGCGCUGGUGGGAUACUACCCUAGCUGUGUUGGCUUUCUAACCCGCACCACUUAUCGUGGUGGGAGACAGUGUCAGGCGGGCAGUUUGACUGGGGCGGUCGCCUCCUAAAAGGUAACGGAGGCGCUCAAAGGUUCCCUCAGAAUGGUUGGAAAUCAUUCAUAGAGUGUAAAGGCAUAAGGGAGCUUGACUGCGAGACCUACAAGUCGAGCAGGGUCGAAAGACGGACUUAGUGAUCCGGUGGUUCCGCAUGGAAGGGCCAUCGCUCAACGGAUAAAAGCUACCCCGGGGAUAACAGGCUUAUCUCCCCCAAGAGUUCACAUCGACGGGGAGGUUUGGCACCUCGAUGUCGGCUCAUCGCAUCCUGGGGCUGUAGUCGGUCCCAAGGGUUGGGCUGUUCGCCCAUUAAAGCGGUACGCGAGCUGGGUUCAGAACGUCGUGAGACAGUUCGGUCCCUAUCCGUCGUGGGCGUAGGAAAUUUGAGAGGAGCUGUCCUUAGUACGAGAGGACCGGGAUGGACAUACCUCUGGUGUACCAGUUGUCGUGCCAACGGCAUAGCUGGGUAGCUAUGUGUGGACGGGAUAAGUGCUGAAAGCAUCUAAGCAUGAAGCCCCCCUCAAGAUGAGAUUUCCCAACUUCGGUUAUAAGAUCCCUCAAAGAUGAUGAGGUUAAUAGGUUCGAGGUGGAAGCAUGGUGACAUGUGGAGCUGACGAAUACUAA